This 23-nucleotide non-coding RNA is filed under the name Arabidopsis thaliana (thale cress). Lineage: Eukaryota; Viridiplantae; Streptophyta; Magnoliopsida; Brassicales; Brassicaceae. The record is from RNAcentral.
UGAGGUCCAAAGUGGUGAGCUUG